ACGACGCUGCGGCGUGGUAACACAUGCAAGUCGAACAGAGAAGAGAGAAGCUUGCUUUUCUACGAUCGAUGCCAACGGUAGUAAGGUAACCACCCUCCCGAUGGGCCACCAUGAACGGUGUAAUCCAUCGGUCCUUUUAGGCAGUUAAGGAAGAAAGGUGCCUUUGAACAGCUACCGUCGGAAGGGUUUGGCGUUGAUUAGCUGUUGGAGGGUACGGCCCACCAAGGCGACGAUCAGUAGCCGGUCUGAGAGGAUGAACGGCCACAUUGGAACUGAGACACGGUCCAGACUCCUACGGGAGGCAGCAGUGGGGAAUCUUCCGCAAUGGGCGAAAGCCUGACGGAGCAACGCCGCGUGAGUGAAGACGGCCUUCGGGUUGUAAAGCUCUGUUAUAGGGGACGAACGGCCGGGUAGCGAAGAGGUAGCCGGCAUGACGGUACCGUAAGAGAAAGCCC
RNAcentral lists this ribosomal RNA (455 nucleotides) under Megasphaera sp. oral taxon D63. Its description in RNAcentral is "bacterial SSU rRNA". It matches the Rfam family "Bacterial small subunit ribosomal RNA", at positions 33 to 493 of the family's 1533-position model. Lineage: Bacteria; Bacillati; Bacillota; Negativicutes; Veillonellales; Veillonellaceae. The record is from RNAcentral.